AAUUUCUACUUCUUUGCUGGGUAUUACCCCACAGAAUUCCAAUCAUGUCUCUUCUACGUACGAGGAGAUUGUUAUUGAUGUUGCCCAAAAUUUGAUGAGUCAAUUUAACUCUCAUAAAUGGCUUCAUGCUGCCAUUUUCCUGUAUUAGCAUGUUCUCGUGGUGUGAAAUUUGAUGUGAAGGCUGAGAUUGCAAGUAGUGAUGAAUUCUAA
This 210-nucleotide unclassified non-coding RNA is filed under the name Hevea brasiliensis (rubber tree). The record is from RNAcentral. Lineage: Eukaryota; Viridiplantae; Streptophyta; Magnoliopsida; Malpighiales; Euphorbiaceae.